RNAcentral lists this ribosomal RNA (484 nucleotides) under uncultured bacterium. Its description in RNAcentral is "partial 16S ribosomal RNA". It matches the Rfam family "Bacterial small subunit ribosomal RNA", at positions 29 to 507 of the family's 1533-position model. The record is from RNAcentral.
AUUGAACGCUGGCGGCAUGCUUUACACAUGCAAGUCGAACGGCAGCGCGGGCUUCGGCCUGGCGGCGAGUGGCGAACGGGUGAGUAAUGCAUCGGAAAGUGCCCAGUAGUGGGGGAUAGCCCGGCGAAAGCCGGAUUAAUACCGCAUACGACCUGAGGGUGAAAGCGGGGGACCGAAAGGCCUCGCGCUAUUGGAGCGGCCGAUGUCGGAUUAGCUAGUUGGUGGGGUAAAGGCUUACCAAGGCGACGAUCCGUAGCUGGUCUGAGAGGACGACCAGCCACACUGGGACUGAGACACGGCCCAGACUCCUACGGGAGGCAGCAGUGGGGAAUUUUGGACAAAGGGGGCAACCCUGAUCCAGCCAUGCCGCGUGCGGGAAGAAGGCCUUCGGGUUGUAAACCGCUUUUGUUCGGGAAGAAAUCCUCUGGGCUAAUACCCCGGGGGGAUGACGGUACCGGAAGAAUAAGCACCGGCUAACUACGUG